GUGAGACUCCAUCUCAGAAAAAAAAAAAAAAAAAGAUUAUUGUAGAUAAAUUAGCAACAAGACGUGUCUUUUAGGAGGUAAAACCAAAUGCCCCAUAGCAUUAGGAAUGUUUCAGCUGUCCCUUUUGUAAAAGUAACCCUUGGGGACUGAAGAAAAUGCCCACGCUCCCAGAAGGAGAAGGAGAACAUUUCCCAGGAAGCCUGGCAUGCUCACAGAUGUCCUAGAGCCCUCACACUUCUCACAGGAACCAGUUCCCCAGCCUGCAGUGACAGGUGAGGAUCACAACCCUCUAUGUGGGAAUUGGAGGCCUCUGUUUUCCAGCUCUGGGACCCCGGGUGGGUCUUUCAUCCUUGGUGUUUUGCUUUCCCCAAUUAGCAGCAAAGGAAAUUCCUGACCUCAAUUAGUGAUUGGUCAGAUGGCACCACGUUUGUGAAAUUGCUUGAGGAAAUACGUGCCAUCUUUUACUAAUGUCAUAGUUAAUCUAGCAUACUAUCACUGGCCAACACUUGCAUGAAGUUUAAAUUCUCUAAAAGGCCCGCAAAUUAAAUCAGAGAUGAUGACGUACCCUUUGGGAAUUACAUUACAACACCUUUCUGUUUCUGGAAUGUUCUUUAUAGAACAGCGAUGUGAUUGAUCUCUGAUGGGCAGCACGGCCUCUGGGUGAGUGAUGGCCGACAGGGCUGGGACAGAGAGCUUCAUAACAUUUCUAGGCAGCCAGUUCUGGCUGGUAUCCUGGCCACUGCUCACACUCUACUGUACUGGGACAUGCCAACCAUUCCUUUCUCUGAAGAGCUUCAGCAAAGCCCAGGCCUCCCAAAUGAUGUUUAUCAACCCUAGAGAGACAAGUGAGGUCUAGUGGUUCGAGUCAGCAAGGGUAGGGAGCCAUGAGGGUUCAGGUGCUCCCCUGACACUCGGGUUUUUUCUUCUUUCAGGGUCACUGUGCAAAUCAUUUAAGGAAAUCUCUCCUUCUUUCUCUCUGCCUGUCUCUCCCUCCCUCCCUCCAUCAGCUCUCCAUGCAUAUACAUCAAGAAACCAUUCUACGAUCUAAGACAGGGCGGAGGGAGGCUGUGCUGGUUGGUUAUUUGUAGCUCCUUCAGAAUGAGAAGCUGCACAGGCACCAAUUAUAAUUGGUAACUUCUAUGCUGACCCCAGAGAUCAGAAACGUUGUCUGCUAGAUCCCAGCAGCCUCUGAAGCCCAGAGCCAAGGAACGUCUUAGAGACUUUGCAGGAAAAUAUUUGAAAGUUCAAAAUGUUUAGAGUCGACAUUAGACACUUUUCCCUCUGAACUCAGAGUGGGGACUUCUUGAAUUGGCCCCCAAUCCAAACGUCUUUCCUUCUUCCUAAUCUUUUUUUUUCUCUCCCUGAUGCAGUUCACCAUUUUAUUUAGAGUCAAAGGCAGAGUCAAAGGGGGACAGGGACAUUGAAGCUUUGUUCCCACAAUAUCAGACAGAAGACUGAGUCACGUGUAUCAGCCAAGACUCCCAGACCAAAAUGUUCCAGAGUCUGGGGACUCCUUAAGCCAAAAUCCUUCGAGGGCCUGGCAGCCAGGAUUGUUUUAUGAACAAGGAAAUUCGCCUGAGGAAGUCGACUUCAGUCUGAAUGCAAGGAAAAAAGUUGAGCCCGCAGACUUCCAUCGUGUUAACAUGAGGUCGGAAGUCGCUGUCCUUGCCAGUGUGGACAGCAACGUCGAGGGCAGAGGAAGGGCAGAGCUGCAGGCAUUCAGACAGCCCUGGCUGGACAGUAAGGGCCCCCAGGCACGGAAGGUAGGCUGUACACGGGGCAUCCAGGAGUGGUGGGUCCACACCCCUCCAUGGCCUUCACCACCGCCCCCAUGCCUGCUUUCUCCUGUGUGGGAAAGACCUUGGGUUCCACAGGCCAGGCAGGAAGCUACAAUGGUGAACCUCGCCCAGUCCGUGUGUGUGCUGUAGACAGUGGCCACAGAAAGGACAGAUGAGCAAGUGACCGUUUCUAGUUGUUUUCACGAAGUUCUGUGUACUGGCAAAGCCUGUUGCCUUCAGCACACUCACAAAAAGUUGAUUUCCUGAAGAAGAAAACAAGCAAACAUUGGACACACGUGUGGGAAAUGCAAACAAACACAUUGUCACUACCGAAGGUAGAAACUGGAGCAGAUACCUUAUAAAAACCACUGCUUUAGCCAGGCGCGGUGGCUCACGCCUGUAAUCCCAGCACUUUGGGAGGCUGCAGCGGGCGGAUCACCUGAGGUCAGGAGUUUGAGACCAGCCUGGCCAACAUGGCAAAACCCCGUCUCUACUAAAAAUAUAAAAAUUAGCUGGGCGUGGUGGUGGACACCUGUAAUCCCCACUACUCAGGAGGCUAAGGCAGGAAAACCACUUCAACCCAGGAGGCAGAGGUUGCAGAGAGUCAAGACUGGGCCACUGCACUCCAGCCUGGGUGACUGAGACUCUGUCUCAAAAAAAAAAAAAAUUUUUUUUUGAAAAACCGCUGCUUUUAGGAAUGUCAAUGUGAACAUAGAGUUUUUUCUAAUUAUUCUUACCUGCUGUGACUUUUAACCAAAUAGAGCCAGUCAACGUGGAUUAAAGGGAGUAUCCUUUGAACCAUAAUAGGAAGACUAGGGCAACAUGUACUUAGGUAUCAAAAUAAGCAAAGCACCGUGUCAGACGUUCGUUGGUGGGACCCCAGAAUCCAAAUGAGCAGUUUUUCCACAAUCAUGCACCCUGUGAUUGCAGGUCUAGAGAUCUGUCAUUGUCAUUUCUCUCUUUUUUUUUUUUAAGAGACAGGGUCUCACUUUGUUGCCCAGGCUGGGG
RNAcentral lists this long non-coding RNA (2786 nucleotides) under Homo sapiens (human). RNAcentral describes it as "HSALNT0356515". The record is from RNAcentral. Lineage: Eukaryota; Metazoa; Chordata; Mammalia; Primates; Hominidae.